UUUUUUUUAUUUUUUUUGUUAAAACCUUUCUUUUGUGGGUGUAUUUCUGUUUUAAAAAAACCCAAAGUGCAUAGGGGGAGCCAGGCCAAGGCCCAGCUUCCCCCGUGACCUAGCCCGUUCUCCCCCUGCGUCCCGUGCCUCUCCCUCCUCGCGCCGCCUACCUCUUCCCUGCUCGCCCCACCAUGCUGGCAGUUGUUGGUUCUAGCGCCCCCUCCUGCCGCCGCCUCCUCC
Molecule: long non-coding RNA, 231 nt
Filed under: Hordeum vulgare
Lineage: Eukaryota; Viridiplantae; Streptophyta; Magnoliopsida; Poales; Poaceae
Description: long non-coding RNA (HVUL_LNC018479)
Source: RNAcentral